UACGAAGGGUGCAAGCGUUAAUCGGAAUUACUGGGCGUAAAGCGCGCGUAGGUGGCUUGAUAAGUUGGAUGUGAAAUCCCCGGGCUCAACCUGGGAACUGCAUCCAAAACUGUCUGGCUAGAGUGCGGUAGAGGGUAGUGGAAUUUCCAGUGUAGCGGUGAAAUGCGUAGAUAUUGGAAGGAACACCAGUGGCGAAGGCGACUACCUGGACUGACACUGACACUGAGGUGCGAAAGCGUGGGGAGCAAAC
Molecule: ribosomal RNA, 250 nt
Filed under: uncultured bacterium
Lineage: Bacteria
Also listed under: 1 other name
Description: partial 16S ribosomal RNA
Rfam family: Bacterial small subunit ribosomal RNA
Source: RNAcentral